This 76-nucleotide non-coding RNA is filed under the name Candidatus Merdisoma faecalis. Lineage: Bacteria; Bacillati; Bacillota; Clostridia; Lachnospirales; Lachnospiraceae. The record is from RNAcentral.
ACCAUUAUCGAGAGGUAAUGCUGAGCGUACAGAAGUCAGCAGAGGUCAUAGUAGCUGUUUUUUUUCAGCGAAGGAC